This 76-nucleotide non-coding RNA is filed under the name Halocynthiibacter namhaensis. RNAcentral describes it as "L2-Alphaproteobacteria ribosomal protein leader". It matches the Rfam family "L2-Alphaproteobacteria ribosomal protein leader". The record is from RNAcentral. Lineage: Bacteria; Pseudomonadati; Pseudomonadota; Alphaproteobacteria; Rhodobacterales; Paracoccaceae.
GGCCACCUUCGGGGGGCUUACAUAGCGGACCGUGACCAUUCGGGUUGGGUUCGCACAGCUAAACGGAAGACAGAAA